AGAGUAACACAACGUGGCCUAUUUUGAUUCGUGGACGCAAAAAUACAAAAAGGAAUUGUUUUUUUUCUUUCUUCUCUCUUCUUGCUCGAUCCUCUCUCUUCUAUGUCGAUCCAGACGGCGAAUCGAAGGCGAUUCAGAAAAAUCAAUCCAUAGUUCCAGACCCAAUUCAUCUUUGAGCUUUGUCAUCCAUUCCUUCAAAUUCUUCAUCGGAAUAUCCACUCCGAUCUAAAAACCGCCUUUCGUCUUCUUCUUCGCGUUGCCCUCUCUCGUCGUCGGCGGCAGAUUAAAAUUGCCCUUCAAUUCUACAGUUGCAAGAACAUGCUCUUUCAAAACCAAAUUCGAGCCUUUUCACAACUAAAUUUUGUUCCUUUAUUGAUUCUCUGAAAUCAGUCUCUGUUAUUUUUGUACUUUUUGCUUUCCAAUGAUGGGAAGAGUAGACAAUUUGCUUUUAUUUGAUAUCGUAGUGCUGAAGAAGCUCAAGAAGCUAUCAAGUAUUUCAACAAGUCUUUUCUUGAUACUUCUCGUAUAUAUGUGAUGAUGUUUAAAGCUGGUCGCCUUUUCGUGAUGAUGACAAUGAUGAUGUUCUUGACACUGAUCGCCUUUUCGUCCGUAACCUGCCUUACAUUGCAACAGAAGAAGAGCUUAUGGAACAUUUAAGCAAAUUUGGUGAGAUAUCAGAAGUCCAUCUUGUUCUUGACAAGGAGACGAAAAGGUCCAAAGGAAUUGCCUACAUCCUUUACCCGAUUCCGGAAUGUGCGGCAAGGGCAAUGGAGGAAUUAGAUAACUCAAUUUUCCUAGCUGUUAGUUCAGGUUUUAAAACAUUUGAUGGUGAUGCAGGGCAAUGGAGGAAUUAGAUAACUCAAUUUUCCAGGACCGUUUGUUGCAUAUUUUUCCAGCCAAGCACCGUGAAACGUCUGAUAAACAAGUGAAUGACACUUCUAACCUGCCAAAAACAUUCAAGCAAAAGAGAGAGGAACAAAAGAAAGGCAUCGGAAGCUGGUGGAAAUACAAAGGC
This is a long non-coding RNA of Camelina sativa (false flax), 1015 nucleotides long. RefSeq lists it as uncharacterized. The record is from RefSeq and is a predicted model, not a curated record. Lineage: Eukaryota; Viridiplantae; Streptophyta; Magnoliopsida; Brassicales; Brassicaceae.